UCUCAGGCAUCUUGAAUUUAGGGCCCUUUAGUUUCGCAUCUGGACCUUCGAUAUUCACAUCAGGAACAUCAAUGUCCACCUUGGGUCCUGAGACGUCAAGGUCAGCCUUGGGCAGGUUCACAUCCACAUCUGGGCCCUCUCCUUUGAAGCCAGGCAUGCUGAACUUGGGCAUUUUCACCUUGGGCAUCUUCAGGCAUGGAGAUCUUGGGGGUCUUGAAAUGCAUCUCAGGCAUCUUAAACUUGGGACCCUUCAGCUUCCCUUCUGGACCUUCGAGGCUCACAUCUGGGGCUUCGAUGUCCACCUUGGGUCCUGAGACAACAACGUCAGCCUUAGGCAAGUUCACAUCAAAUUCUGGCCCCUCUCCUUUGAGGCUGGGCAUGCUAAAUUUGGGCAUUUUAAUCUUUG
RNAcentral lists this long non-coding RNA (406 nucleotides) under Homo sapiens (human). RNAcentral describes it as "HSALNT0176141". Lineage: Eukaryota; Metazoa; Chordata; Mammalia; Primates; Hominidae. The record is from RNAcentral.